GGGAAUGUGGCUUAGUGGUACAGUGCUUGCCUAUUAUGCAUGAACCCUUGGGUUCAAUUCCUCAGUACCA
This 70-nucleotide transfer RNA is filed under the name Dipodomys ordii (Ord's kangaroo rat). It matches the Rfam family "tRNA". Rfam says of the family: Transfer RNA (tRNA) molecules are approximately 80 nucleotides in length. Their secondary structure includes four short double-helical elements and three loops (D, anti-codon, and T loops). The record is from Rfam by way of RNAcentral. Lineage: Eukaryota; Metazoa; Chordata; Mammalia; Rodentia; Heteromyidae.